CUCAACUCACAGAAUGACAUCUCCCAAGUUCUCUCAGUAGCCUUUUUGAUCAGCUCUGCCUGCCUUUCCGUCACCAAGAUCCCCUAAUUUUACAAGCAGUCAGCUUUGUUUCUUGCUGAAAGCUAUUCUUUAUAGGAUGUAUGGGAAGUACGGCUAGACUGAGAAAAUGACAUUCAAGGCAUGUAAAAGCUAAGAUGUCCAUGCUGGCUGUGGAAUUCUGAGAGCUGCAAUCCAAAGAUGAGACAUUUUCCUUCUCUGAAUGAUAGCCGUUUCUCUCUAUAGAUGAGGGAUUGCUUUGGCAGAGAGAGCAAACAGAUGCCCUGUGCAAGGUGCUUCUUCCAGCUGCUCCUUAAGGUGGCCUUGUCACUGGUCUGCCUAGCCCACCAUUGUCUGUGACCUAAACACAUGACAUCUGCUCUGCCCACAAAUGGAUCUGCAAAUGUUGUUGCUCUGCUCCCAAUGGUGCCAUCAGUGAAGAAAUGUAUGCAAAAGAGACUGAAAUUCAUAAAGCCAGAGGCCAUGCUGACUGGAAUAUUCUGGGGAAUGUUAUAAAAAGGUACUUUUUCCAGUUGGAUGAUUGGUCUAUGUAGCUUAGUAUUAUCCCCAAUGACUACCAGUUCCUCUCCAAGAUUUAAGAAAUAUCUUUCCUAGCCCUGCUUCAAUGUACCAUAGAUUGAACCUGGCCUUUCUUCCUUGAGCAGAAGACUCUGCAAUAAUCCUGAAUUUUGUUUGGUAUAUUUGAGUGUACACAGGCAAGCAGCACAGAUUUCUCAUGCUGUGGAGUAAGCAUGUGAAUUAUGCUAAUCUACCACUAUACAGUUCCCCACCAUCACAAAAUUUACUGUGGAUAUCUAUGCCCUCCAUCACUCACAUCAUAAUUGUGGCUAAGAGUAAUAGCUGAUACCCAAAAGGCCUGAAAUACAUUUUCCGUGAUGAUAAGCCCUAUUGGGAAACAGCAACAUUCCUUUUUCCAAGAGAAAGCAAACAAGAUAAUAAUACAACAAUAUUAACCUUCUAAAGUUAUCCGAUUCUGAGUUCCCCACCUUUGGGACAAU
RNAcentral lists this long non-coding RNA (1055 nucleotides) under Pogona vitticeps (central bearded dragon). Its description in RNAcentral is "lncRNA (ENSPVIG00000012628.1)". The record is from RNAcentral. Lineage: Eukaryota; Metazoa; Chordata; Lepidosauria; Squamata; Agamidae.